This 402-nucleotide ribosomal RNA is filed under the name uncultured bacterium. Its description in RNAcentral is "bacterial SSU rRNA". It matches the Rfam family "Bacterial small subunit ribosomal RNA", at positions 355 to 774 of the family's 1533-position model. The record is from RNAcentral.
UGGGGAAUCUUGCACAAUGGGGGAAACCCUGAUGCAGCGACGCCGCGUGAACGAUGAAGCCCUUCGGGGUGUAAAGUUCUUUCGACAGGAACGAUAAUGACGGUACCUGGAGAAGAAGCUGCGGCUAACUACGUGCCAGCAGCCGCGGUAAUACGUAGGCAGCGAGCGUUGUUCGGAGUUACUGGGCGUAAAGAGUGCGUAGGCGGCGAGCCAAGUUUGGUGUGAAAUCUCCCGGCUUAACCGGGAGGGUGCGCCGAAAACUGGUUGGCUGGAGUAUGGGAGAGGAAAGCGGAAUUCCUGGUGUAGCGGUGAAAUGCGUAGAUAUCAGGAGGAACACCUGCGGUGUAGACAGCUUUCUGGACCAAAACUGACGCUGGGGCACGAAAGCGUGGGUAGCAAACA